CCUACGUGAGGCAACAGUGGGGAAUAUUGCGCAAUGGGCGAAAGCCUGACGCAGCGACGCCGCGUGAGGGAUGAAGGUCUUCGGAUCGUAAACCUCUGUCAGCAGGGAAGAACGGUCACUGUGCUAAUCAGCAGUGAAUUGACGGUACCUGCAAAGGAAGCACCGGCUAACUCCGUGCCAGCAGCCGCGGUAAUACGGAGGGUGCGAGCGUUAAUCGGAAUUACUGGGCGUAAAGCGCUCGUAGGCGGUAUGUCAAGUCAAGGGUGAAAUCCCCGCGCUCAACGUGGGAACUGCCUUUGAAACUGGCAAACUGGAGUGUGUGAGAGGAUAGUGGAAUUCCAGGUGUAGGAGUGAAAUCCGUAGAUAUCUGGAGGAACAUCAGUGGCGAAGGCGACUAUCUGGCACAUAACUGACGCUGAGGAGCGAAAGCGUGGGUAGCAAACAGGAUUAGAUACCCCAGUAGUC
Molecule: ribosomal RNA, 465 nt
Filed under: uncultured bacterium
Lineage: Bacteria
Description: partial 16S ribosomal RNA
Rfam family: Bacterial small subunit ribosomal RNA
Source: RNAcentral